ACAUUUGGCUGGCAGGAAGAUACCAUGAGUCCCAGGGAAAGCCUUAUCCACUGCACACCGGAUGUGCUGACCCCUGUGGUUUCCCCAAAUGUAGGAAACUCGACUGCAUAAUUUGUGGUGGCCGGGCAGUGCGUUUGUGCUUUCCCUUA
RNAcentral lists this small nuclear RNA (149 nucleotides) under Suricata suricatta (meerkat). Its description in RNAcentral is "U1 spliceosomal RNA (ENSSSUG00005014461.1)". It matches the Rfam family "U1 spliceosomal RNA". From Rfam's summary of the family: U1 is a small nuclear RNA (snRNA) component of the spliceosome (involved in pre-mRNA splicing). Its 5' end forms complementary base pairs with the 5' splice junction, thus defining the 5' donor site of an intron. There are significant differences in sequence and secondary structure between metazoan and yeast U1 snRNAs, the latter being much longer (568 nucleotides as compared to 164 nucleotides in human). Lineage: Eukaryota; Metazoa; Chordata; Mammalia; Carnivora; Herpestidae. The record is from Rfam by way of RNAcentral.